UAUUUGGGCCGGUCCAACUUCCAUGGGCCUUCCAAAAGAAACAGCGUCGAAUGUCUAAAAGUGUGGCCUAUACAAGUGGAAAAGUUAAGAUUAGGAGGCAAAUACCCUUUUUUUUUUUGGUCGCAAAUGCUGGAAAUUUCCAUUAACUCAAGCCAAGUUUGUGAACAUCAUAGCAUGAAAUAGCCAACAUCGGUUUCGGGGGAUGAAACAGAGAAUUAGAGGGGAGUUCUUUUUUUCGUUGGGCCUCUGCUACUCAAUCUGCUAGCUUGUUUGCCUCUUUUGGACAAUGGGUCGGAUGUACAAAGCUGAGUGGAUCAGCUUCAUUUUGCAAUCAUAACUCCGGGACCCGAUAUCCCACGGGCCUUGAUCAGCGACUGGCUGGCAAGCGGUUGACCAAAGUAAGAUUAUCACUUUCCAGUUCAAGCACUUCUGCACGAAGUACAUUCCGAUCAAAGGCUUCUUCUUCCAGGAACUGAAGACACCGGAGCAGAGCUAGGGUUUCAACCGCCAUCACUAAUUCAGCAUAAAUAGAGUUUGUGAAGCCAUGAAUCAACACACCUUAGGAGUUGCGAGCCAAUCCGGCAAUUGCACAAUCCGGCGACCCUUCCGAUUUUGAAUAGCCAACGUUGAUCUUAAGGGAUCCUCUUACCGGUGUUUGCCAAAUAGAAGGUAAUUGAGUUUGUUGUUCCUUUUUCCUUUUCGUUCCCGCAUUCCACCUCAGGAAACUUGUAUUCUCAGUGAUUGCAUGAUCAAUAAUCUUGCUUGGGUCCUGGCGGCAUGAUUGGAAGAUGUAGGUAUUACACACCUUCCAAAUUAACCAGAGAAUGACCGCGAUUUCCUCGUUGGACAACGGGUUUCUAUUUGAUUCAAAGCAUUGCGAUCCAUUUGUCCAAUCUAGUGAUGGGUUGGCUUGAAUUUUGCAGCUUUAGCCUUGGAUUCGCCCAAAUUGUUGUUGUCCAGUGGCAAAUGAGAAAAAUAUGCUCCAUUGUUUCUUGCGCUUGGUGACACAGAGGACAUAUGAGGUUAGCUUGAGUUUCGGCGUACCUCGAGAAAGACAAAGGAAGAAGCUUUACGAUCGUAUCUAAGGCGAGUAUUCUCGCCAUUUCUCUUUGUUUCAACCAUUUAUGUUAUGAUUAGAGGCGGAGCUUAGAUUGUACGUUGUACGUAAAGCCGACUGGUAGUCGCGCAAAACUUGUGAACGUUGGUGGAAGCUUCGAAAUGAAGUAUUUUUUUGACAAUGAGUUUGUUUGCUUUAAAGACGGUGGAAAAAUGUGAUUUUUCGUUGGUUCUGAAAUUCUGACGGUAGUCAUUCAUGUUGAUAAUUCGGCUGGUGCUAAUUUAGAGGAAGUGAAAAUAGUGUUUCAUAGUUAAAUCGGCACGAUGAGGUCGUGUAGUGGUACUAUAUGUGAAUGACGAACAUGAUUUUCUUUGCAUGGCUAGCUUUUAUUGCUUACAUGCCUUUUACAACUUUCAAUAUAUCUUGUGAGUUAGUUGUGAUGAACUCAAAAAAUUCCGGUGGUGACGAGAUUGAAACGGUGCGGUUGAUGGUGCAGUCAUGGACACUCCGAAUAAUGAUUAUUUUGACUAUUGUCGUUCGUAUCUUAUUUACGAUAUUGAUAUAAUAAUUGUUGAGUAUUGAAGUUGACAUGUUGCAUUUCCGUUAUUUUAUCCAUAUACAUUACAUUGUGAGGAUUACGGUGAGGACCAUCGGCUAGAGUACCGGUGAUGUCCCGUGGGAGCCAACGAGGGAAUUCGGGAAGCUCAAGGCCAUUAUACCUUAAGGCCGUGCUGUGUGAUCUCGGUGAUAGAUGCGUAAGUAAGUCGUAUAACCUCGGAGUAGAAGCGAGACGCUUGCUGCUGUGUGGUCUACAGAAGAUCGAUUCUUAAAAUCGAUGGUUACGAAUGAGAGUGGCAUUUACGGGGAAUUCAUGGGCAUAUCAUAUGCAUUCUCAUAUACAUAUUAUCAUUAUUCAUAUCAUGAUGGAAAUCGAUGAUCUUGUGGUCGACU
Molecule: long non-coding RNA, 2008 nt
Organism: Syzygium oleosum
Lineage: Eukaryota; Viridiplantae; Streptophyta; Magnoliopsida; Myrtales; Myrtaceae
Exons: 2
Source: RefSeq, a predicted model, not a curated record